RNAcentral lists this ribosomal RNA (445 nucleotides) under uncultured bacterium. RNAcentral's name for it is "partial 16S ribosomal RNA". It matches the Rfam family "Bacterial small subunit ribosomal RNA", at positions 29 to 523 of the family's 1533-position model. The record is from RNAcentral.
AGCGAACGCUGGCGGCAGGCUUAACACAUGCAAGUCGAACGCCCCGCAAGGGGAGUGGCAGACGGGUGAGUAACACGUGGGAACGUACCCUUUGGUUCGGAAUAACUUGGGGAAACUCAAGCUAAUACCGGAUAAGCCCUUAUGGGGAAAGGUUUACUGCCGAAGGAUCGGCCCGCGUCUGAUUAGCUAGUUGGUGAGGUAAUGGCUCACCAAGGCGACGAUCAGUAGCUGGUCUGAGAGGAUGAUCAGCCACUGGGACUGAGACACGGCCCAGACUCCUACGGGAGGCAGCAGUGGGGAAUAUUGGACAAUGGGGGCAACCCUGAUCCAGCCAUGCCGCGUGAGUGAUGAAGGCCUUAGGGUUGUAAGGCUCUUUUACCCGGGACGAUAAUGACUGUACCGGGAGAAUAAGCCCCGGCUAACUUCGUGCCAGCCGCCGCCGUAA